This 700-nucleotide ribosomal RNA is filed under the name Klebsiella oxytoca. RNAcentral describes it as "bacterial SSU rRNA". The stretch from base 7 to 512 matches the Rfam family "Bacterial small subunit ribosomal RNA", at positions 38 to 536 of the family's 1533-position model. Lineage: Bacteria; Pseudomonadati; Pseudomonadota; Gammaproteobacteria; Enterobacterales; Enterobacteriaceae. The record is from RNAcentral.
GGAAAGGGCGCAGGCCUACACAUGCAGUCCGAACGGUAGCACAGAGAAGCUUGCUCUCGGGUGACGAGUGGCGGACGGGUGAGUAAUGUCUGGGAAACUGCCUGAUGGAGGGGGAUAACUACUGGAAACGGUAGCUAAUACCGCAUAACGUCGCAAGACCAAAGAGGGGGACCUUCGGGCCUCUUGCCAUCAGAUGUGCCCAGAUGGGAUUAGCUAGUAGGUGGGGUAACGGCUCACCUAGGCGACGAUCCCUAGCUGGUCUGAGAGGAUGACCAGCCACACUGGAACUGAGACACGGUCCAGACUCCUACGGGAGGCAGCAGUGGGGAAUAUUGCACAAUGGGCGCAAGCCUGAUGCAGCCAUGCCGCGUGUAUGAAGAAGGCCUUCGGGUUGUAAAGUACUUUCAGCGGGGAGGAAGGCGUUGAGGUUAAUAACCUUGUCGAUUGACGUUACCCGCAGAAGAAGCACCGGCUAACUCCGUGCCAGCAGCCGCGGUAAUACGGAGGGUGCAAGCGUUAAUCGGAAUUACUGGGCGUAAAAACGCACGCACGCGGUCUGUCAAGUCCGAUAUGAUAUCUCCGGGGCUCUAACCGUGGGAACGGCUUCCAAAAGGGGAGGGAUAAACUCGUGUACAGGGGGAGACAUUUCCCGGGGGGGACAACCAACGCGUUAAAACCUGUAAGGAGUCGGAGUACCAAG